GAUGAACGCUGGCGGCGUGCCUAAUACAUGCAAGUCAACGAGUUCUCGUUGAUGAUCGGUGCUUGCACCGAGAUUCAACAUGGAACGAGUGGCGGACGGGUGAGUAACACGUGGGUAACCUGCCCUUAAGUGGGGGAUAACAUUUGGAAACAGAUGCUAAUACCGCAUAGAUCCAAGAACCGCAUGGUUCUUGGCUGAAAGAUGGCGUAAGCUAUCGCUUUUGGAUGGACCCGCGGCGUAUUAGCUAGUUGGUGAGGUAAUGGCUCACCAAGGCGAUGAUACGUAGCCGAGCUGAGAGGUUGAUCGGCCACAUUGGGACUGAGACACGGCCCAAACUCCUACGGGAGGCAGCAGUAGGGAAUCUUCCACAAUGGACGCAAGUCUGAUGGAGCAACGCCGCGUGAGUGAAGAAGGCUUUCGGGUCGUAAAACUCUGUUGUUGGAGAAGAAUGGUCGGCAGAGUAACUGUUGUCGGCGUGACGGUAUCCAACCAGAAAGCCACGGCUAACUACGUGCCAGCAGCCGCGGUAAUACGUAGGUGGCAAGCGUUAUCCGGAUUUAUUGGGCGUAAAGCGAGCGCAGGCGGUUUUUUAAGUCUGAUGUGAAAGCCCUCGGCUUAACCGAGGAAGCGCAUCGGAAACUGGGAAACUUGAGUGCAGAAGAGGACAGUGGAACUCCAUGUGUAGCGGUGAAAUGCGUAGAUAUAUGGAAGAACACCAGUGGCGAAGGCGGCUGUCUGGUCUGUAACUGACGCUGAGGCUCGAAAGCAUGGGUAGCGAACAGGAUUAGAUACCCUGGUAGUCCAUGCCGUAAACGAUGAAUGCUAGGUGUUGGAGGGUUUCCGCCCUUCAGUGCCGCAGCUAACGCAUUAAGCAUUCCGCCUGGGGAGUACGACCGCAAGGUUGAAACUCAAAGGAAUUGACGGGGGCCCGCACAAGCGGUGGAGCAUGUGGUUUAAUUCGAAGCAACGCGAAGAACCUUACCAGGUCUUGACAUCUUUUGAUCACCUGAGAGAUCAGGCUUCCCCUUCGGGGGCAAAAUGACAGGUGGUGCAUGGUUGUCGUCAGCUCGUGUCGUGAGAUGUUGGGUUAAGUCCCGCAACGAGCGCAACCCUUAUGACUAGUUGCCAGCAUUUAGUUGGGCACUCUAGUAAGACUGCCGGUGACAAACCGGAGGAAGGUGGGGAUGACGUCAAAUCAUCAUGCCCCUUAUGACCUGGGCUACACACGUGCUACAAUGGAUGGUACAACGAGUUGCGAGACCGCGAGGUCAAGCUAAUCUCUUAAAGCCAUUCUCAGUUCGGACUGUAGGCUGCAACUCGCCUACACGAAGUCGGAAUCGCUAGUAAUCGCGGAUCAGCACGCCGCGGUGAAUACGUUCCCGGGCCUUGUACACACCGCCCGUCACACCAUGAGAGUUUGUAACACCCGAAGCCGGUGGCGUAACCCUUUUAGGGAGCGAGCCGUCUAAGGUGGGACAAAUGAUUAGGGUG
RNAcentral lists this ribosomal RNA (1491 nucleotides) under Lacticaseibacillus paracasei. Its description in RNAcentral is "bacterial SSU rRNA". It matches the Rfam family "Bacterial small subunit ribosomal RNA". The record is from RNAcentral. Lineage: Bacteria; Bacillati; Bacillota; Bacilli; Lactobacillales; Lactobacillaceae.